RNAcentral lists this ribosomal RNA (372 nucleotides) under uncultured bacterium. RNAcentral's name for it is "bacterial SSU rRNA". It matches the Rfam family "Bacterial small subunit ribosomal RNA", at positions 524 to 898 of the family's 1533-position model. The record is from RNAcentral.
UACGGGGGAUGCAAGCGUUAUCCGGAUUUAUUGGGUUUAAAGGGUGCGUAGGCGGUUUGAUAAGUCAGCGGUGAAAUAUUUCAGCUUAACUGAAAGGGUGCCGUUGAUACUGUCAGGCUUGAAUAUGGUUGCUGUGGGUGGAAUGUGUGGUGUAGCGGUGAAAUGCAUGGAUAUCACACAGAAUAUCGAUUGCGAAGGCAGCUCACAAAGCUAAAAUUGACGCUGAUGCACGAAAGUGUGGGGAUCAAACAGGAUUAGAUACCCUGGUAGUCCACACUGUAAACGAUGAUAACUCGCUGUCGGCGAUACAUAGUCGGUGGCCAAGCGAAAGCGAUAAGUUAUCCACCUGGGGAGUACGGCCGCAAGGUUGAA